This 253-nucleotide ribosomal RNA is filed under the name uncultured bacterium. RNAcentral describes it as "partial 16S ribosomal RNA". It matches the Rfam family "Bacterial small subunit ribosomal RNA", at positions 524 to 776 of the family's 1533-position model. The record is from RNAcentral.
UACGUAGGGGGCAAGCGUUGUCCGGAAUCAUUGGGCGUAAAGCGCGCGUAGGCGGCCCUGUAAGUCCGUUGUGAAAGUCAAAGGCUCAACCUUUGAAUGCCGACGGAUACUGCCGGGCUAGAGUACGGAAGAGGCGAGUGGAAUUCCUGGUGUAGCGGUGGAAUGCGCAGAUAUCAGGAGGAACACCUAUAGCGAAGGCAGCUCGCUGGGACGUUACUGACGCUGAGGCGCGAAAGCGUGGGGAGCGAACAGG